Molecule: long non-coding RNA, 454 nt
Organism: Amphimedon queenslandica
Lineage: Eukaryota; Metazoa; Porifera; Demospongiae; Haplosclerida; Niphatidae
Exons: 3
Source: RefSeq, a predicted model, not a curated record
GGAGAAAAAGUUGCUUGAUGGUGUUGCUACUUAAAACUCUUGUUCCAUCAUUGUUUAGGAUAAAGACAAAGACAUCAAGCCAACUAAGGAAGAGCCAGUUACCAUUCCAGUUAUGGUGUGUUCCUUCUUAGCCUCUGAGAACAAAGGACAUGGUGCCACAGACCUAGAAAAGCAAAGACAAAACUUUUAAAACGGUUUCUUAAAUUCAUAUUGAAAAGAUUAUAUUCAUCAUGAUAAUUAUUGUCAAGAUAUAAUAUUUGCAGGUAAAGAAUGUUAUGAAUGAUCCCUCAACAUCAUAAAAGAUUUGAGAAUAUGUUAGAUAUUUUGUCUUCAUUCCUUGUAGCACAGUACAUCACUUGUUGUGGUAAGAGUUUGUGUCUACACUAUCUUAGUAGUGUAGCAUAGUGUCCUUUACUGUUAUUCAGUUGUAUUGCUUGAUGUGUUAGGAGUAUCU